GGAAGAGCUCAAAUUUAUAAUCUGGCACCUUCGGUGUCCGAGUUGUAAUCUCUAGAAAUGUUUUCCGCGUUGGACCGCACACAAGUCUGUUGGAAUACAGCGGCAUAGUGGUGAGACCCCCGUAUAUGGUGCGGACGCCCAGCGCUUUGUGAUACAUUUUCGAAGAGUCGAGUUGUUUGGGAAUGCAGCUCAAAUUGGGUGGUAAAUUCCAUCUAAAGCUAAAUAUUGGCGAGAGACCGAUAGCGAACAAGUACCGUGAGGGAAAGAUGAAAAGCACUUUGGAAAGAGAGUUAACAGUACGUGAAAUUGUUGGAAGGGAAACGCUUGAAGUCAGACUUGCUUGCCGAGCAAUCGGUUUGCAGGCCAGCAUCAGUUUUCCGGGAUGGAUAAUGGUAGAGAGAAGGUAGCAGUUUCGGCUGUGUUAUAGCUCUCUGCUGGAUACAUCUUGGGGGACUGAGGAACGCAGUGUGCCUUUGGCGGGGGUUUCGACCUCUUCAC
This 498-nucleotide ribosomal RNA is filed under the name Rhodotorula mucilaginosa. RNAcentral describes it as "LSU rRNA". It matches the Rfam family "Eukaryotic large subunit ribosomal RNA", at positions 101 to 614 of the family's 3401-position model. The record is from RNAcentral. Lineage: Eukaryota; Fungi; Basidiomycota; Microbotryomycetes; Sporidiobolales; Sporidiobolaceae.